Pelobates cultripes (western spadefoot toad) is the source of this 220-nucleotide non-coding RNA. NCBI's taxonomy places the organism in Eukaryota, Metazoa, Chordata, Amphibia, Anura, Pelobatidae. The record is from the annotation of a GenBank genome assembly.
CCUGCAGACACAGACUAUAGCUCAGGUAUGUGAAGGAUGGGGGGAAAGGCAGCAGGGAAACAUAGGGACACUGAGACACUAGGGGACACAUGGGGACACUGAGACACUAGGGGACACUGGUAGACGUGGGGAUGCUGAGACACAUGGGGACGCUGUGAGACAUAGGGAGACACAUUGGGACAUGGACACACUAGGGACACAGUGUCUCAAUGUCUCCCAG